Molecule: ribosomal RNA, 744 nt
Filed under: uncultured bacterium
Lineage: Bacteria
Description: bacterial SSU rRNA
Rfam family: Bacterial small subunit ribosomal RNA
Source: RNAcentral
AGAGUUUGAUCAUGGCUCAGAACGAACGCUGGCGGCAGGCUUAACACAUGCAAGUCGAACGAACGUAGCAAUACGUUAGUGGCGCACGGGUGAGUAACGCGUGGAUAUCUGCCUUUUGGUUCGGGAUAACCUUGGGAAACUAGGGCUAAUACCGAAUGGUUCCUACGGGAUAAAGAUUUAUCGCCAAAAGAUGAGUCCGCGUCCGAUUAGCUAGUUGGUGGGGUAAUGGCCCACCAAGGCGACGAUCGGUAGCUGGUCUGAGAGGACGAUCAGCCACACUGGGACUGAGACACGGCCCAGACUCCUACGGGAGGCAGCAGUGGGGAAUAUUGGACAAUGGGGGCAACCCUGAUCCAGCCAUGCCGCGUGAGUGAUGAAGGCCUUCGGGUUGUAAAGCUCUUUUGGCGGGGACGAUGAUGACGGUACCCGCAGAAUAAGCCCCGGCUAACUUCGUGCCAGCAGCCGCGGUAAGACGAAGGGGGCUAGCGUUGUUCGGAAUUACUGGGCGUAAAGCGAGUGUAGGUGGUUGUCGUAGUCAGGCGUGAAAGCCUUGAGCUCAACUCAAGAAAUGCGCUUGAUACUGGGCAGCUAAAGGACCGGAGAGGAUAGUGGAAUUCCCAGUGUAGUGGUGAAAUACGUAGAGAUUGGGAAGAACACCAGUGGCGAAGGCGGCUAUCUGGACGGUUUCUGACACUAAGACUCGAAAGCGUGGGGAGCAAACAGGAUUAGAUACCCUAGUAGUCC